Molecule: ribosomal RNA, 518 nt
Filed under: uncultured bacterium
Lineage: Bacteria
Description: bacterial SSU rRNA
Rfam family: Bacterial small subunit ribosomal RNA
Source: RNAcentral
AGAGUUUGAUUAUGGCUCAGGAUGAACGCUAGCUACAGGCUUAACACAUGCAAGUCGAGGGGCAGCAUUGGGGUAGCAAUACUCAGAUGGCGACCGGCGCACGGGUGAGUAACACGUAUCCAACCUGCCGCUUACUCGGGGAUAGCCUUUCGAAAGAAAGAUUAAUACCCGAUGGUAUAAAGAGUUCGCAUGUUCUCUUUAUUAAAGAAUUUCGGUAAGCGAUGGGGAUGCGUUCCAUUAGAUAGUUGGCGGGGUAACGGCCCACCAAGUCUACGAUGGAUAGGGGUUCUGAGAGGAAGGUCCCCCACAUUGGAACUGAGACACGGUCCAAACUCCUACGGGAGGCAGCAGUGAGGAAUAUUGGUCAAUGGACGAGAGUCUGAACCAGCCAAAGUAGCGUGAAGGAUGACUGCCCUAUGGGUUGUAAACUUCUUUUAUAAGGGAAUAAAGUGAGGGACGUGUCCCUUUUUGUAUGUACCUUAUGAAUAAGGAUCGGCUAACUCCGUGCCAGCCGCGGC